Molecule: ribosomal RNA, 377 nt
Filed under: uncultured bacterium
Lineage: Bacteria
Description: bacterial SSU rRNA
Rfam family: Bacterial small subunit ribosomal RNA
Source: RNAcentral
UAAUACAGAGACCCCGAGCGUUAUCCGGAAUCACUGGGCGUAAAGCGUCUGUAGGCGGCUUAAAUAGUCAGAUGUUAAAUCCUAGAGCUCAACUUUAGGAUCGCAUCUGAAACGUUUAGGCUAGAGCUUGCUAGAGGCUGAUGGAACUUGCGAAGUAGCAGUGAAAUGUGUUGAUAUCGCAAGGAACACCAAAAGCGGAGGCAUUCAGCUGGGGCAAGGCUGACGCUGAGAGACGAAAGCGUGGGUAGCGAAGGGGAUUAGAUACCCCCGUAGUCCACGCCGUAAACAAUGGACACUAGGCAUUUUAAGUGUCGACCCUUGGAGUGUCGCAGCUAACGCGUUAAGUGUCCCGUCUGGGAAGUACGAGCGCAAGCUUA